AUGGUCAUAGGCUACCCAUACACUCCCCAGAUGCAAGCUAUACAUCGGCCAUACACUACACAUACACAAGCUAGAGAAUGGCCUUUGUCUGGCGAGUCGGAUGCUGCCCGGAGAAUGUCUCUGCGUCGCUCCGCUUGGUCCCAUGCUUCUCACUUCGCGCCGGGCCUCACGCUCUGCCGACGACUUCCGUUCCUCGCCGCUCAACUGCUGCGCCUUGCCAUGAGGCCCAGCGCCCUUCCUCCUUCAGCCACUUUCACCAGCGCGGCAGCGUCUCACGCCUCCACGCCCGCACCGAUUCUGCUCCAGCCAGCUGCCGGCUUCCCGCGCUGGCUCUUCCCGCAUCGGAUCCUCCGCGCCCGACCUCCCGUUGCCUGCUCCGCCGGUAUCCGGCGCUCCUGCGCCUCGUCUCAACCCCGGCCGCGCGCCCACAACGCUCUGUCUUCAGCUGGCCGGCUUCGAGCGCGCCAGCUCCGCCCGUGCGUCCCGCGCCGGGUCGCCUCGCCCUGCAUCCGGCCUCCUCCCGCGUCGCCCCGCGGCCGGCCGCUCCGUCUGCGCCGGCCCACCACCGCCCCGCUGCUGCCCAUCGCCGGCCCCGCGGUGCGUCCGGCUUCGCCUGCGCCUGGACGCCGGGUCGCCGCGCCGGCUCCUCUGGCCGGCUCCCCGUCCCGCGCCGGCCGGGUUGCCGCUGCCUCCUCCCGCGCCGGGCCCCAUCCGCACCGGCUCCCGCCUGCCGGCUUGCUCUCCAGCCGGCUACCGCCUCGCGCCAUCCGGCUCCGCCCGCUAACCCGGACAGCCGGCUCCGUCCGCGACCCGGCCGGUCCUGCUCCAGGCGUCUCCGCGACCCGGCUGGUCCUGCUCAACUGCUGCGGCCGAGUGCCCGUUCAAAAAAAGAGAACCCGGCUGCUGUGUAAAAAAAGAAGAAAGAAAGAGAACAGAGAGAAGAAAACUCAAGCCAGCAGCUAA
This 963-nucleotide ribosomal RNA is filed under the name Triticum aestivum (bread wheat). Its description in RNAcentral is "partial small subunit ribosomal RNA". The record is from RNAcentral. Lineage: Eukaryota; Viridiplantae; Streptophyta; Magnoliopsida; Poales; Poaceae.